This is a non-coding RNA of Labrus bergylta (ballan wrasse), 208 nucleotides long. The record is from RefSeq and is a predicted model, not a curated record. NCBI's taxonomy places the organism in Eukaryota, Metazoa, Chordata, Actinopteri, Labriformes, Labridae.
GAGAGAUAUUGUUUGGAAAUGGGACAAAGAUUGACAUCAAAGAACGAACAGCAAGUUUUGAAUUGAUCGGGCUGGUCAUAGCGAUACUCUGCUUGGUGAUUUCUCUGAUUGGAAAUGUUUCUCUCAUUUGCUUCCAAACUCCGAGAGAAGAAAGUGAACAAUCUAAAGCUGCUGUCGUCCUGCAAUUAAACAGCGAGAGGGUGAAAAA